AGACGCUGACGCAAGGAUAUUUAAUCAGACAUGGAGGUUUAUAGAGAACAGACAACAGACAAUAUAUGGCGCACCGAGUACAGGGAGUAGCAUGAAGCUGCAGCGUUGGAGACUGCACUCUCAGGACCGCACUCACAGGACCCUAGUUUUUUGUGACACUGCCACCUAGCGAGCAGGAGACCUGAAUAUGAAUGACAACGCAGAGAGUGCAUGGCCAAAGGUUUGCCUUCUGGACUCUGGAGGCCAGAAGCUUGCUCGAGGGAACCCUUCAGCCAGUGUUCAGCGUGCCAGAAUGGAUAUCUCCCAGGAGAAGGUGGUCAACAGCAGAUUGAAGAAUCCACAGUGUGGAAAUUGUGCCCAAUAAAUGUAUUCUGCACUGAAAUG
Long non-coding RNA from Trematomus bernacchii (emerald rockcod), 384 nucleotides. RefSeq lists it as uncharacterized. The record is from RefSeq and is a predicted model, not a curated record. The transcript is spliced from 3 exons. Lineage: Eukaryota; Metazoa; Chordata; Actinopteri; Perciformes; Nototheniidae.